Molecule: ribosomal RNA, 484 nt
Filed under: uncultured bacterium
Lineage: Bacteria
Description: partial 16S ribosomal RNA
Rfam family: Bacterial small subunit ribosomal RNA
Source: RNAcentral
ACUCAAAUGAAUUGACGGGGACUCGCACAAGUGGUGGAUUAUGUGGCUUAAUUCGACGAUGACCGAAAAACCUUACCAGGGUUAGAAAUCUAGCUGCACGCCCAAGGAAACUUGGGAAGCCUUCGAGGGUGCUAGACAGGUGAUGCAUGGCUGUCGUCAGUUCGUGGCUUGAGCUGUUCCCUUAAGUGGGGUAACGAACGCAACCCUCGUUGCCUGUUUCAAGUGUCAGGCGAGACUGCCCCCUCACGGGGGAGGAAGGUGAGGACGACGCCAAGUCAGCAUGUCCCUCUGAUACCCUGGGCCGCACACAUAAUACAAUCGGCGCGACAAAAGGAUGCGAAACCGCAAGGUGGAGCAGAUCGAAAAACGCGUCGCCAAUACGGAUUGAGGUCUGCAACUCGACCUCAUGAAGCCGGAAUCACUAGUAAUCGUAGGUCAGCAAACUACGGUGAAUACGUUCUCGAGUCUUGUACACACCGCCCGU